CGGGGUAUGGCGCAGCCUGGUAGCGCAUCUGCUUUGGGAGCAGAGGGUCGCAGGUUCGAAUCCUGCUGCCCCGACCA
RNAcentral lists this transfer RNA (77 nucleotides) under Hyphomicrobiales bacterium. RNAcentral describes it as "tRNA-Pro". It matches the Rfam family "tRNA". From Rfam's summary of the family: Transfer RNA (tRNA) molecules are approximately 80 nucleotides in length. Their secondary structure includes four short double-helical elements and three loops (D, anti-codon, and T loops). The record is from RNAcentral. Lineage: Bacteria; Pseudomonadati; Pseudomonadota; Alphaproteobacteria; Hyphomicrobiales. RNAcentral also lists the same sequence under 3 other names.